GACGAACGCUGGCGGCGUGCUCAACACAUGCAAGUCGAACGCUGAAGCACCAGCUUGCUGGUGUGGAUGAGUGGCGAACGGGUGAGUAAUACGUGAGUAACCUGCCCUUGACUCUGGGAUAAGCCCGGGAAACUGGGUCUAAUACUGGAUGCUACAUGUCACCGCAUGGUGGUGUGUGGAAAGGGUUUACUGGUCUUGGAUGGGCUCACGGCCUAUCAGCUUGUUGGUGAGGUAAUGGCUCACCAAGGCGACGACGGGUAGCCGGCCUGAGAGGGUGACCGGCCACACUGGGACUGAGACACGGCCCAGACUCCUACGGGAGGCAGCAGUGGGGAAUAUUGCACAAUGGGCGAAAGCCUGAUGCAGCGACGCCGCGUGAGGGAUGACGGCCUUCGGGUUGUAAACCUCUUUCAGCAGGGAAGAAGCCACAAGUGACGGUACCUGCAGAAGAAGCGCCGGCUAACUACGUG
RNAcentral lists this ribosomal RNA (470 nucleotides) under uncultured bacterium. RNAcentral's name for it is "partial 16S ribosomal RNA". It matches the Rfam family "Bacterial small subunit ribosomal RNA", at positions 28 to 507 of the family's 1533-position model. The record is from RNAcentral.